AAAUUGAAGAGUUUGAUCAUGGCUCAGAUUGAACGCUGGCGGCAGGCCUAACACAUGCAAGUUGAACGGUAACAGGAAGCAGCUUGCUGCUUUGCUGACGAGUGGCGGACGGGUGAGUAAUGUCUGGGAAACUGCCUGAUGGAGGGGGAUAACUACUGGAAACGGUGGCUAAUACCGCAUAACGUCGCAAGACCAAAGAGGGGGACCUUCGGGCCUCUUGCCAUCAGAUGUGCCCAGAUGGGAUUAGCUUGUUGGUGAGGUAACGGCUCACCAAGGCGACGAUCCCUAGCUGGUCUGAGAGGAUGACCAGCCACACUGGAACUGAGACACGGUCCAGACUCCUACGGGAGGCAGCAGUGGGGAAUAUUGCACAAUGGGCGCAAGCCUGAUGCAGCCAUGCCGCGUGUAUGAAGAAGGCCUUCGGGUUGUAAAGUACUUUCAGCGGGGAGGAAGGUGUUGUGGUUAAUAACC
This 471-nucleotide ribosomal RNA is filed under the name Salmonella enterica. RNAcentral's name for it is "bacterial SSU rRNA". It matches the Rfam family "Bacterial small subunit ribosomal RNA", at positions 1 to 468 of the family's 1533-position model. Lineage: Bacteria; Pseudomonadati; Pseudomonadota; Gammaproteobacteria; Enterobacterales; Enterobacteriaceae. The record is from RNAcentral.